UGGGGAAUAUUGCACAAUGGGGGAAACCCUGAUGCAGCGACGCCGCGUGAACGAAGAAGGUAUUCGUAUCGUAAAGUUCUGUCCUAUGGGAAGAUAAUGACAGUACCAUAGAAGAAAGCUCCGGCUAAAUACGUGCCAGCAGCCGCGGUAAUACGUAUGGAGCGAGCGUUGUCCGGAAUUAUUGGGCGUAAAGGGUACGCAGGCGGUUUAAUAAGUCGAAUGUUAAAGAUCGGGGCUCAACCCCGUAAAGCAUUGGAAACUGAUAAACUUGAGUAGUGGAGAGGAAAGUGGAAUUCCUAGUGUAGUGGUGAAAUACGUAGAUAUAUGGAGGAACCCCGGUGGCGAAGGCGGCUCUCUGGUCUGUAACUGACGCUGAGGUUCGAAAGCGUGGGGAGCGAACAGG
RNAcentral lists this ribosomal RNA (403 nucleotides) under Bacteroidota bacterium. RNAcentral describes it as "Bacteroidetes bacterium partial 16S ribosomal RNA". It matches the Rfam family "Bacterial small subunit ribosomal RNA", at positions 355 to 776 of the family's 1533-position model. Lineage: Bacteria; Pseudomonadati; Bacteroidota. The record is from RNAcentral.